RNAcentral lists this ribosomal RNA (1710 nucleotides) under Escherichia coli. Its description in RNAcentral is "partial 23S ribosomal RNA". It matches the Rfam family "Bacterial large subunit ribosomal RNA", at positions 1 to 1744 of the family's 2925-position model. Lineage: Bacteria; Pseudomonadati; Pseudomonadota; Gammaproteobacteria; Enterobacterales; Enterobacteriaceae. The record is from RNAcentral.
GGGUUGUGAGGUUAAGCGACUAAGCGUACACGGUGGAUGCCCUGGCAGUCAGAGGCGAUGAAGGACGUGCUAAUCUGCGAUAAGCGUCGGUAAGGUGAUAUGAACCGUUAUAACCGGCGAUUUCCGAAUGGGGAAACCCAGUGUGUUUCGACACACUAUCAUUAACUGAAUCCAUAGGUUAAUGAGGCGAACCGGGGGAACUGAAACAUCUAAGUACCCCGAGGAAAAGAAAUCAACCGAGAUUCCCUCAGUAGCGGCGAGCGAACGGGGAGCAGCCCAGAGCCUGAAUCAGUGUGUGUGUUAGUGGAAGCGUCUGGAAAGGCGCGCGAUACAGGGUGACAGCCCCGUACACAAAAAUGCACAUGCUGUGAGCUCGAUGAGUAGGGCGGGACACGUGGUAUCCUGUCUGAAUAUGGGGGGACCAUCCUCCAAGGCUAAAUACUCCUGACUGACCGAUAGUGAACCAGUACCGUGAGGGAAAGGCGAAAAGAACCCCGGCGAGGGGAGUGAAAAAGAACCUGAAACCGUGUACGUACAAGCAGUGGGAGCACGCUUCGGCGUGUGACUGCGUACCUUUUGUAUAAUGGGUCAGCGACUUAUAUUCUGUAGCAAGGUUAACCGAAUAGGGGAGCCGAAGGGAAACCGAGUCUUAACUGGGCGUUAAGUUGCAGGGUAUAGACCCGAAACCCGGUGAUCUAGCCAUGGGCAGGUUGAAGGUUGGGUAACACUAACUGGAGGACCGAACCGACUAAUGUUGAAAAAUUAGCGGAUGACUUGUGGCUGGGGGUGAAAGGCCAAUCAAACCGGGAGAUAGCUGGUUCUCCCCGAAAGCUAUUUAGGUAGCGCCUCGUGAAUUCAUCUCCGGGGGUAGAGCACUGUUUCGGCAAGGGGGUCAUCCCGACUUACCAACCCGAUGCAAACUGCGAAUACCGGAGAAUGUUAUCACGGGAGACACACGGCGGGUGCUAACGUCCGUCGUGAAGAGGGAAACAACCCAGACCGCCAGCUAAGGUCCCAAAGUCAUGGUUAAGUGGGAAACGAUGUGGGAAGGCCCAGACAGCCAGGAUGUUGGCUUAGAAGCAGCCAUCAUUUAAAGAAAGCGUAAUAGCUCACUGGUCGAGUCGGCCUGCGCGGAAGAUGUAACGGGGCUAAACCAUGCACCGAAGCUGCGGCAGCGACGCUGAUGCGUUGUUGGGUAGGGGAGCGUUCUGUAAGCCUGCGAAGGUGUGCUGUGAGGCAUGCUGGAGGUAUCAGAAGUGCGAAUGCUGACAUAAGUAACGAUAAAGCGGGUGAAAAGCCCGCUCGCCGGAAGACCAAGGGUUCCUGUCCAACGUUAAUCGGGGCAGGGUGAGUCGACCCCUAAGGCGAGGCCGAAAGGCGUAGUCGAUGGGAAACAGGUUAAUAUUCCUGUACUUGGUGUUACUGCGAAGGGGGGACGGAGAAGGCUAUGUUGGCCGGGCGACGGUUGUCCCGGUUUAAGCGUGUAGGCUGGUUUUCCAGGCAAAUCCGGAAAAUCAAGGCUGAGGCGUGAUGACGAGGCACUACGGUGCUGAAGCAACAAAUGCCCUGCUUCCAGGAAAAGCCUCUAAGCAUCAGGUAACAUCAAAUCGUACCCCAAACCGACACAGGUGGUCAGGUAGAGAAUACCAAGGCGCUUGAGAGAACUCGGGUGAAGGAACUAGGCAAAAUGGUGCCGUAACUUCGGGAGAA